This 153-nucleotide small nuclear RNA is filed under the name Solanum tuberosum (potato). Its description in RNAcentral is "snRNA U1". It matches the Rfam family "U1 spliceosomal RNA". From Rfam's summary of the family: U1 is a small nuclear RNA (snRNA) component of the spliceosome (involved in pre-mRNA splicing). Its 5' end forms complementary base pairs with the 5' splice junction, thus defining the 5' donor site of an intron. The record is from Rfam by way of RNAcentral. Lineage: Eukaryota; Viridiplantae; Streptophyta; Magnoliopsida; Solanales; Solanaceae.
UUACUUAACUGGACAUGGUCAAUGGGCGAUCAAGAAGGCUCAUGGCCUAGGCUGAUGACCUCCAUUGCACUCGGAGUAGUGCCAGCCUAAGAUCGGCCCAAGUGGUCUAGCCUGGCAUAAGUUAUUUGUGGCCUGCAUUCGUGUGGAGCAUAU